CAAUUUAAAUAUUGUCCGUCUCGCUAAAAUUCGAGAACGGCAGAACCAAUUUUGUUAAUUUUUGUCUUGAAAUAUUCAUGCA
This is a long non-coding RNA of Aricia agestis (brown argus), 82 nucleotides long. RefSeq lists it as uncharacterized. Lineage: Eukaryota; Metazoa; Arthropoda; Insecta; Lepidoptera; Lycaenidae. The record is from RefSeq and is a predicted model, not a curated record. The transcript is spliced from 3 exons.